This is a long non-coding RNA of Labeo rohita (rohu), 448 nucleotides long. RefSeq lists it as uncharacterized. NCBI's taxonomy places the organism in Eukaryota, Metazoa, Chordata, Actinopteri, Cypriniformes, Cyprinidae. The transcript is spliced from 4 exons. The record is from RefSeq and is a predicted model, not a curated record.
GAGGCUUUUGUUGUGUGAAACCUACUGCCUUUUUGCUUUCUUACUGUCAGCUUUUCUUCCAUUUUAUGUUUUGAAGAGUUAGAACAAAUUAAUUAGGAGUCAUAAACCGUAAUUACAUAAAUAUUGUCUUAAUAAAUAAGUGUGUGGCCUCAACCAUAACAUUAUUUACAACGGAAAAAACACAGUGAAAAAUCCUAAAAUUCAGAGCUCACCGAGACGCCAGAUGCAACUGUGAGGUGUGAGGCCAGACAUAGUCAUGCACUGGAGAUGACAGCAGGAUAGAGGAACAAGCUUGGCUGGAAAUGUCACUGACCGAGCUGGGGACUCUUCAGAUUAUCAUGCCUCAAUGGUGCAGGCAGGACCCUGUCAGGAACGCGUAAGUCAAAACGGGUUGGAAAACGCUGUCAUCCUCCCGACAUCCUCAAAGACUCAUCCUGAUCAGCAACUG